AUGAACGCUGGCGGCGUGCCUAAUACAUGCAAGUCGAGCGAACAGAUGAGGAGCUUGCUCCUCUGACGUUAGCGGCGGACGGGUGAGUAACACGUGGAUAACCUACCUAUAAGACUGGGAUAACUUCGGGAAACCGGAGCUAAUACCGGAUAAUAUAUUGAACCGCAUGGUUCAAUAGUGAAAGACGGUUUUGCUGUCACUUAUAGAUGGAUCCGCGCCGCAUUAGCUAGUUGGUAAGGUAACGGCUUACCAAGGCAACGAUGCGUAGCCGACCUGAGAGGGUGAUCGGCCACACUGGAACUGAGACACGGGCCAGACUCCUACGGGAGGCAGCAGUAGGGAAUCUUCCGCAAAGGGCGAAAGCCUGACGGAGCAACGCCGCGUGAGUGAUGAAGGUCUUCGGAUCGUAAAACUCUGUUAUUAGGGAAGAACAAAUGUGUAAGUAACUAUGCACGUCUUGACGGUACCUAAUCAGAAAGCCACGGCUAACUACGUG
RNAcentral lists this ribosomal RNA (496 nucleotides) under uncultured bacterium. RNAcentral's name for it is "partial 16S ribosomal RNA". It matches the Rfam family "Bacterial small subunit ribosomal RNA", at positions 29 to 507 of the family's 1533-position model. The record is from RNAcentral.